RNAcentral lists this small RNA (872 nucleotides) under Pan troglodytes (chimpanzee). RNAcentral's name for it is "retained intron". The record is from RNAcentral. Lineage: Eukaryota; Metazoa; Chordata; Mammalia; Primates; Hominidae.
AGAAGACUGAGCUCAGAGCAUAGAAAUAGCUUGCCCAAGGCCAUGACUAAGUCAGGAUAAGGAGCUGGAGCUUGUUUCCUCACUCAGUGGUCCUGACUUUGCACCACUCUGCAUUUGCCUAGCCUGCCUUCCUCUAACUGUGCUCUCCCUACUUCCAGGCCUCACCUGCAGAUGCCCCCCAGCCUGGGCCAGAUGAGCCUGCCCUUUGACCAGCCUCACCCCCAGGGCCUGCUGCCGUGCCAGCCUCAGGAGCAUGCUGUGUCCAGCCCUGACCCCCUGCUCUGCUCAGAUGUGACCAUGGUGGAAGACAGCUGCCUGAGCCAGCCAGUGACAGCGUUUCCUCAGGGCACUUGGAUUGGUGAAGACAUAUUCCCUCCUCUGCUGCCUCCCACUGAACAGGACCUCACUAAGCUUCUCCUGGAGGGGCAAGGGGAGUCGGGGGUAGGGUCCUUGGGGGCACAGCCCCUCCUGCAGCCCUCCCACUAUGGGCAAUCUGGGAUCUCAAUGUCCCACAUGGACCUAAGGGCCAACCCCAGUUGGUAAUCCCAGCUGGAGGGAGAACCCAAAGAGACAGCUCUUCUACUACCCCCACAGACCUGCUCUGGACACUUGCUCAUGCCCUGCCAAGCAGCAGAUGGGGAGGGUGCCCUCCUAUCCCCACCUACUCCUGGGUCAGGAGGAAAAGACUAACAGGAGAAUGCACAGUGGGUGGAGCCAAUCCACUCCUUCCUUUCUAUCAUUCCCCUGCCCACCUCCUUCCAGCACUGACUGGAAGGGAAGUUCAGGCUCUGAGACACACCCCAACAUGCCUGCACCUGCAGCGCGCACACGCACGCACACACACAUACAGAGCUCUCUGAGGGUGAUGGGGC